GUGAGGAAUAUUGGUCAAUGGGCGAGAGCCUGAACCAGCCAAGUCGCGUGAAGGAUGAAGGUUUUAUGAAUUGUAAACUUCUUUUGCAGGGGAAUAAAGUACGGUACGUGUACCGUUUUGUAUGUACUCUGCGAAUAAGGAUCGGCUAACUCCGUGCCAGCAGCCGCGGUAAUACGGAGGAUCCAAGCGUUAUCCGGAUUUAUUGGGUUUAAAGGGUGCGCAGGCGGGUUGAUAAGUCAGCGGUGAAAGUUUGCAGCUUAACGGUAAAAUUGCCGUUGAAAAUGUCGAGCUUGAGUGCAAAUGAGGUAAGCGGAAUGUGUUGUGUAGCGGUGAAAUGCUUAGAUAUAACACAGAACACCGAUUGCGAAGGCAGCUUACUGGGAUGCAACUGACGCUCAUGCACGAAAGCGUGGGGAUCAAACAGGAUUAGAAACCCGGGUAGUCC
RNAcentral lists this ribosomal RNA (445 nucleotides) under uncultured bacterium. RNAcentral describes it as "partial 16S ribosomal RNA". It matches the Rfam family "Bacterial small subunit ribosomal RNA", at positions 354 to 796 of the family's 1533-position model. The record is from RNAcentral.